GGGCGGGGAGAAGGCCAUAUGUGGGAUGAAGAGCUGUGGUUAGCGGGACCUGAUGUUGUGUCGGUAAAAAUAUGGAGAAAAUGCAAGAUGACCCACUAUUAUAUAUGGAGAGAGAGAGAGAGAGAGACUGCAUGAUCACUUCCUCGGUUACUUUUAAGAGGAGGACACAAACUUCUUCCAGUCUUUGCUUUACAACCAUGCAGGUGGUGGUAGUGCUGGUGGUUGCUAUGUUUGUAGCUGCUGUGAGUGGAGUUGUUGACUACGAUGACACACCAGGAACUGUGGACGGUAAACACCAACCCUGGACCUCGAGGCUCUCGGGGAACACAACAGCAGCAAAAGAAAGAAGCCGUGUUAACAGAAUAUUACUACCCAUCUUGACCGUCAUCAAGUUUGCCAACUUGCACUGUCGCGUAGGGUCAAAGUCUGGUACAUGCUACACGGCCAGACAGUGCCGAGAGAGGAGUGGCCAGGAGUUGGGCGCCUGUGCUGAAGGCUUUGGGGUCUGUUGUUACAAGGAGAUCACCUGUGGAGGUACAACAUGGGCUAACGGCACGUACCUGGUAAGUCCCGGUUACCCCUCCUCAUAUAACGACGCCCGCACGUGUGACUUGACCGUAUCCCGCACACCUGGAGUUUGCCAGCUGCGGCUCGACUUCGAGACCUUCGAAAUUUUUCCGCCAGAUCAGUUCGGUCAUUGCAUCACGGACCAGUUCACUGUAGAUGAUGAGCGAAAGUUCAAGUUCCUGUGUGGUUCUGCUCCUUCAGAUUGGCACUUUUACCUGGAUGUGGCGGAGGGGUCAGGGCCCACGGUGCUCCGGAUAGUGACGGGCGCCUCGUCCUUUCGCAGACUUUUCAGUAUAAGAGUGACUAUGAUCGAGUGUGCCCAGAAAGUUCCUGGUGGGUGUGGACAAUACCUGACAGGGAACUCAGGCGUUGUGCAGAGUUUUAACUACGGUGGCUUUUAUCUGGCUGGCCUUGACUACGGCAUCUGUUUCAGGAAAGAGAAGAACAAGUGCAGUACAACAUUACGUGUGGCGGGUCCCUCUUUUGUGGGAUGCCCUAACGACUUGUACCGUCUUCCUGUGGGGCGAUCGGCAGCCGCUGUCAACAACCCUCUGGCGACGCUCUCUCUUUAUUGCCAACUGGAUACCAAUUUUGUGCCCUUCGCUUCGCUGGCAACCAUACAAUCUCCGCUUACCACUGUCACCCGCGGCCCCCUUGUCAUCUGGCAUCGGACCGACUCCAGUGAUGCCCAGCCCAACUAUCACAGCACCGCCGGCUGCACCGCUUGCUCGGGUUUUUACCAGACAUUCAUCCACAAUGACUGCUGACUGUAUUAUGUACAUCGCCCACUCAUGUUAUAGAAGCAUAUCACUUCUAAAAAAACACACACACACACAUUCACGGAGGAUUUUAUGCAGGUACUGCACGAAAUUAUAUGCCUAGUGGAUGCCAAGAUCUCUAUAUACGCCUCUUGGUGAUGCUAAGACGGUAGGAAAACUGCGUUUAGAUUGCAGCUAAAUCAAUCAAUUUAAAUUGUUAAUUAUUCAGCUAUGGUGACUUACUUGCCUAUUUCAUAUAUUUAUUUAUAAAACUUUUCAUUUAUCUUGCAUUGUUUUAACUUUGACAUUACUAGCAUUAUUUUAUAUUUACGACCAAAAUAUACAGUGUGCAAAUAAAUACAACAAUGCGUCUUCCAUUAUUGUCAAUAUUAUAGAAAGAGUUGAUUAAAAUAACAUAAAACAACAGCUAAUAAAAUCCUCAAUCAAUCUUCUAAAAUGUUGUACCUGUUCUGUUUUUAAAUACCCAUCAUACUUAACCCAUUCCAAGCGUCAUUGGUCGCGAACUCCCUACGUCAAGGGAUGCCUGCUACUGAUACGCAUCCUGAUUGGAUGGAACAUGUCUCUACGUCACCAUUCCCAGCCGGUGGCAAGUGUGGUUGGUGGAAGCAAGAUGAGUGUUUGGCGGGAAAGCGGCGCGUCCCUGGCAUGGCAUCACCCUUCCAACCAUUGUUUACCUUUUCCAUUUAAACCCAGUGGCUGCCUUGAACUUGGAACUCACCGUGUACUCAGGUCGUGACACACCCUGAAAGAUAACCCCGCCUGAGAGUAACGCAGAGUGGGCAGACAGACUUGGUCAGCUACAGUCAAUCUCCCAUCCUCAUAUCUAUCCCCAACACCCUCACCUGAUGAACUGAUUAUCAGGGAGCGAGGGAGAAGGUCUUUACCCAUUGAGUGGUCCCCUAUACCCAU
Molecule: unclassified non-coding RNA, 2255 nt
Filed under: Portunus trituberculatus (swimming crab)
Lineage: Eukaryota; Metazoa; Arthropoda; Malacostraca; Decapoda; Portunidae
Description: uncharacterized LOC123509799, transcript variant X4
Source: RNAcentral